RNAcentral lists this ribosomal RNA (420 nucleotides) under uncultured bacterium. Its description in RNAcentral is "bacterial SSU rRNA". It matches the Rfam family "Bacterial small subunit ribosomal RNA", at positions 355 to 775 of the family's 1533-position model. The record is from RNAcentral.
UGGGGAAUCUUGCGCAAUGGUCGAACGACUGACGCAGCGACGCCGCGUGUGGGAUGACGCCUUUCGGGGUGUAAACCACUGUUGCCCGGGACGAACACCCGCUUUCGAGUGGGCUGACGGUACCGGGUGAGGAAGCACCGGCUAACUCCGUGCCAGCAGCCGCGGUAAUACGGAGGGUGCGAGCGUUGUCCGGAAUCAUUGGGCGUAAAGGGCGCGUAGGUGGCAGGCCAAGCGUGCGGUGAAAGCUCGGGGCUCAACCCCGGGUCGGCCGUGCGAACUGGCGUGCUGGAGCACUGUAGAGGCAGGCGGAAUUCCGGGUGUAGCGGUGGAAUGCGUAGAGAUCCGGAAGAACACCGGUGGCGAAGGCGGCCUGCUGGGCAGUUGCUGACACUGAGGCGCGACAGCGUGGGGAGCAAACAG